UACGAAGGGGGCUAGCGUUGUUCGGAAUUACUGGGCGUAAAGCGCACGUAGGCGGAUAUUUAAGUCGGGGGUGAAAUCCCGGGGCUCAACCCCGGAACUGCCUUCGAUACUGGGUAUCUUGAGUUCGGAAGAGGUGAGUGGAACUCCGAGUGUAGAGGUGAAAUUCGUAGAUAUUCGGAAGAACACCAGUGGCGAAGGCGGCUCACUGGCCCGGUACUGACGCUGAGGUGCGAAAGCGUGGGGAGCAAACAGG
RNAcentral lists this ribosomal RNA (253 nucleotides) under uncultured bacterium. RNAcentral's name for it is "partial 16S ribosomal RNA". It matches the Rfam family "Bacterial small subunit ribosomal RNA", at positions 524 to 776 of the family's 1533-position model. The record is from RNAcentral.